GGUUCAGGAUGAACGCUGGCGGCGUGCCUAACACAUGCAAGUCGAACGGAGAAUUACGCUGAUGAAGCUUCGGCAGAUUCUGUAAAUCUUAGUGGCGGACGGGUGAGUAACGCGUGGGCAACCUGCCUCAUACUGGGGGAUAACAGAUAGAAAUGACUGCUAAUACCGCAUAAGCGCACAGUAUCGCAUGAUACGGUGUGAAAAGCCGAGACGGUAUAAGAUGGACCCGCGUCUGAUUAGCCAGUUGGCAGGGUAACGGCCUACCAAAGCAACGAUCAGUAGCCGGCCUGAGAGGGUGAACGGCCACAUUGGGACUGAGACACGGCCCAAACUCCUACGGGAGGCAGCAGUGGGGGAUAUUGCACAAUGGGGGAAACCCUGAUGCAGCCGACGCCGCGUGAGCGAUUGAAGUAUUUCGGUAUGUAAAGCUCUAUCAGCAGGGAAGAAAAUGACGGUACCUGACUAAGAAGCUCCGGCUAAAUACGUGCCAGCAGCGGC
This 498-nucleotide ribosomal RNA is filed under the name uncultured bacterium. RNAcentral's name for it is "bacterial SSU rRNA". It matches the Rfam family "Bacterial small subunit ribosomal RNA", at positions 21 to 518 of the family's 1533-position model. The record is from RNAcentral.